UAGGGAAUCUUCCACAAUGGACGCAAGUCUGAUGGAGCAACGCCGCGUGAGGGAAGAAGGUUUUCGGAUCGUAAAGCUCUGUUGUUGGGGAAGAAGGAUAGAGGCAGUAACUGGUCUUUAUUUGACGGUAAUCAACCAGAAAGUCACGGCUAACUACGUGCCAGCAGCCGCGGUAAUACGUAGGUGGCAAGCGUUGUCCGGAUUUAUUGGGCGUAAAGCGAGCGCAGGCGGAAUGAUAAGUCUGAUGUGAAAGCCCACGGCUCAACCGUGGAACUGCAUCGGAAACUGUCAUUCUUGAGUGCAGAAGAGGAGAGUGGAAUUCCAUGUGUAGCGGUGGAAUGCGUAGAUAUAUGGAAGAACACCAGUGGCGAAGGCGGCUCUCUGGUCUGCAACUGACGCUGAGGCUCGAAAGCAUGGGUAGCGAACAGG
This 429-nucleotide ribosomal RNA is filed under the name bacterium. RNAcentral describes it as "partial 16S ribosomal RNA". It matches the Rfam family "Bacterial small subunit ribosomal RNA", at positions 355 to 776 of the family's 1533-position model. The record is from RNAcentral.